AUCGACAGUUACCGGGGCUAAGACAAAUAUGAGACGCAUGUAAAUGGGUUUAUCAGCUGGAGGGACCAGAGGUGUAUGUGUGUGUGAUGACGACAUGGAAACUCGAUAGUGGGUUUAUCAGCUGGAGGGACCAGAGGUGUAUGUGUGUGUGAUGAAGACAUGGAAACUCGAUAGUGUGGGUUUAUCAGCUGGAGGGACCAGAGGUGUAUGUGUGUGUGAUGACGACAUGGAAACUCGAUAGUGGGUUUAUCAGCUGGAGGGACCAGAGGUGUAUGUGUGUGUGAUGAAGACAUGGAAACUCGAUAGUGUGUGUUUAUCAGCUGGAGGGACCAGAGGUGUAUGUGUGUGUGAUGAAGACAUGGAAACUCGAUAGUGUGGGUUUAUCAGCUGGAGGGACCAGAGGUGUAUGUGUGUGUGAUGAAGACAUGGAAACUCGAUAGUGUGGGUUUAUCAGCUGGAGGGACCAGAGGUGUAUGUGUGUGUGAUGAAGACAUGGAAACUCGAUAGUGUGGGUUUAUCAGCUGGAGGGACCAGAGGUGUAUGUGUGUGUGAUGAAGACAUGGAAACUCGAUAGUGUGGGUUUAUCAGCUGGAGGGACCAGAGGUGUAUGUGUGUGUGAUGAAGACAUGGAAACUCGAUGGUGUGACAUGUUUGAUUUAUGCAGACUUGGUCACAGGCUUGUGGUUUCAGACCUUUGCUCAGGUGUCUUGUAUGCUGGAAUAGACUCUCUGACUUGUAGUGAAAUGGAAAUAGUUGCUGGUAGUCACACCUCUCUCAGUUCCAGCUCUGAGAAUUCAUCACAGUAUGAUAAAAUUAUCUGACAAGUUAUGUCAGGGUUCAUCACAACUUAUUUUAGCUUCACGUCAGUUUGGCCUGCUUUAUGUCAGUUUGGCCUGCUUUAUGUCCGUUUGGCCUGCUUCACGUCCGUUUGGCCUGCUUUAUGUCCGUUUGGCCUGCUUCACGUCCGUUUGGCCUGCUUUAUGUCAGUUUGGCCUGCUUUAUGUCCGUUUGGCCUGCUUGAAGUACAAUCCCCGCUAGUAUGUAGUACAUCCACAGGAGACCCCAAUACAUUUGUAAUUAUCACUACUACUGAUGAACUGCUAGCACGUAUAACACCGGCUCAGCUGAGUGCAGUAGUAGCAUAGUUAAGCUGUGGAAAAGUGUGUAGUCUCCUGUCUUAUAGAUAUUGCAGCUCAUAACAGAAGAAUUACAUGGUUUCUGCUUGUAGUUUCCGCUCGUAGUUUUGAUUAUCUAGAUGUUACUGUGUAUGUGUGUAUCCACUGAAUGCUGAGGCCUUUGCAAUACACUUACCACCAGUGACAGUCAAAGGAGGCGUGUUAAAAAAUGUCUUUGUGACUGAUGUAGAGAGAAAAGGAUGAAAAAGGUUCCAUGCCUUUUGCUAGCUGGAUUUCUGACUCUUCAAAAUAGCAGUGUUUUGUUUUCCCUGGGGAAGAGCGCUGAAAUAAAAUCAAACUUGUCUGUGUGUGUGGGUGUGAAUAUUCCCCUUGGAAUGGAAGGCUGAGUUUGUCUGGGAGAUGCAGGGUGGAGGGGCGGGCACCGGAGGCUCCGGUUGCCUGGAUGUAUGUGACACGUUUCCUAAUGUCCAGGGUCUUAAUAAGCCAGUGCCCAGAGGGACUGGAAAAAACAAGGCAUCUACUAUUCCUGUAGAAAAUGAGAUAUAUUUUUACAUGUAGCUACCAACAAUCCCUGUAGAGAUGAUUUUAACAUAGUUUGUGAGAAAUGCAAGUUGUCUUAAUCAAUUAAAUAGAUUAUAAUCCUUAACACUCCCUCUGUUCAUCAGAGGUGUACCAUGCUAAAGCUACUAGGCUUUGUGUGUGUGCGUGUGUGUGUGUGUGUGUGUGUGUGUGUGUGUGUGUGUGUGUGUGUGUGUGUGUGUGUGUGUGUGUGUGUGUGUGUGUGUGUGUGUGCGUGCGUGCGUGCGUGCGUGUGUGUGGAGGUGUUGUCAUAACGCCAGCAGCAGUUAUGUUAUUUGGCAUACAGGUAGUCGUCAGAUUUCUUUAAUUCGUAUUGAAAAAUUGACAAAUGAGUUAUGACACCAGAGCUGUUUCUCUUGGGAGAGAAGAGGAGAGACUGAUCGAGUACUAGCGAAAGCGAGAGAGAUGGAAAGAAGUUUCUCUUUUUUUCUGGGAACAUCUUAGGUUUCGACUUGCGAGGUCGAGCAAGAUGGUAAUGGCUGUCGUUUGCCUCACUGUAAAGAGAGAAAGAGAGAAAAUAAGUCUUACAUUUUCUCCACAAUUCCAUCCUCUCACCUUCCUUAUUUCUUUUUUUUAGGGCAGUUUAGAUACUCGGAUGUU
Oncorhynchus keta (chum salmon) is the source of this 2315-nucleotide long non-coding RNA. RefSeq lists it as uncharacterized. The transcript has 3 exons. Lineage: Eukaryota; Metazoa; Chordata; Actinopteri; Salmoniformes; Salmonidae. The record is from RefSeq and is a predicted model, not a curated record.